This 531-nucleotide small RNA is filed under the name Pongo abelii (Sumatran orangutan). Its description in RNAcentral is "processed transcript". The record is from RNAcentral. Lineage: Eukaryota; Metazoa; Chordata; Mammalia; Primates; Hominidae.
AUUUUGUGAGAUAGGUAAGGAGUAAGGGAACUGAGGCCCAAAGAACAUACGAAUCAUGCCCCAAGUCACAAAUCUUGUAAUUGCCAGAACUGGGACUUGACAAGGCCUCAUAAAUUCUCUAAGUGACUUGACUUUACCAUAUUUAUAAAAGUAGUUGGAGCUGGAAUGUGAGGGAGCAGGGUAAGAGGGGAAAGGAUUGAACCGACUUUACUAGAGUUCUUUAAAAAUUAAAACAUGGUCAGUUCAUGACCUUUGAUUUUUGAACAAAUUCCAAGGAAUGGUCUUUGAUUUUGUAACCAGACAAGUCUUUGAUAUCAGCAUCAUGAUCCUCAUCUGCCUCAACAUGGUCACCAUGAUGGUGGAAACCGAUGACCAGGGAAAAUACAUGACCCUAGUUUUGUCCCGGAUCAACCUAGUGUUCAUUGUUCUGUUCACUGGAGAAUUUGUGCUGAAGCUCGUCUCCCUCAGACACUACUACUUCACUAUAGGCUGGAACAUCUUUGAUUUUGUGGUGGUGAUUCUCUCCAUUGU